UGACCUCAAAUCAGGUAGGACUACCCGCUGAACUUAAGCAUAUCAAUAAGCGGAGGAAAAGAAACUAACAAGGAUUCCCCUAGUAACUGCGAGUGAAGCGGGAAAAGCUCAAAUUUAAAAUCUGGCGGUCUUAUGGCUGUCCGAGUUGUAAUCUAGAGAAGUGUUAUCCGCGCUGGACCGUGUACAAGUCUCCUGGAAUGGAGCAUCAUAGAGGGUGAGAAUCCCGUCUUUGACAUGGACUGCCAGGGCUUUUGUGAUGCGCUCUCAAAGAGUCGAGUUGUUUGGGAAUGCAGCUCAAAAUGGGUGGUAAAUUCCAUCUAAAGCUAAAUAUUGGCGAGAGACCGAUAGCGAACAAGUACCGUGAGGGAAAGAUGAAAAGAACUUUGGAAAGAGAGUUAAACAGUACGUGAAAUUGCUGAAAGGGAAACGCUUGAAGUCAGUCGCGUCGUCCAGGGAUCAACCUUGCUUUUGCUUGGUGCACUUUCUGGUUUGACGGGUCAGCAUCAAUUUUGACUAUUGGAAAAAUAUUGAGGGAAUGUGGCAUUUUCGGAUGUGUUUAUAGCCCUUGAUUGCAUACAAUGGUUGGGAUUGAGGAACUCAGCACGCCGCAAGGCCGGGUUGUCAAACCACGUACGUGCUUAGGA
RNAcentral lists this ribosomal RNA (644 nucleotides) under Cortinarius ochropallens. RNAcentral describes it as "eukaryotic LSU rRNA". It matches the Rfam family "Eukaryotic large subunit ribosomal RNA", at positions 1 to 618 of the family's 3401-position model. Lineage: Eukaryota; Fungi; Basidiomycota; Agaricomycetes; Agaricales; Cortinariaceae. The record is from RNAcentral.